UAGGGUUUGAUCCUGGCUCAGGAUGAACGCUGGCGGCGUGCCUAACACAUGCAAGUCGAGCGAGAAGGUUGCAAAUGAUUCUUCGGAAGAAUGCGCAACUGGAGAGCGGCGGACGGGUGAGUAACGCGUGGGUAACCUGCCCUAUGGAGGGGGAUAACUAAGAGAAAUCUUAGCUAAUACCGCAUAAGCGCACAGCAUCGCAUGAUGCCGUGUGAAAAACUCCGGUGCCAUAGGAUGGACCCGCGUCAGAUUAGCUAGUUGGUGAGGUAACGGCUCACCAAGGCGACGAUCUGUAGCCGACCUGAGAGGGUGAUCGGCCACAUUGGGACUGAGACACGGCCCAAACUCCUACGGGAGGCAGCAGUGGGGGAUAUUGCACAAUGGGCGAAAGCCUGAUGCAGCAACGCCGCGUGAAGGAAGACGGUUUUCGGAUUGUAAACUUCUAUCAGCAGGGAAGAAAAAAGACGGUACCUGACUAAGAAGCCCCGGCUAACUACGUGCCAGCAGCCGCGGU
This 514-nucleotide ribosomal RNA is filed under the name uncultured bacterium. Its description in RNAcentral is "bacterial SSU rRNA". It matches the Rfam family "Bacterial small subunit ribosomal RNA", at positions 1 to 521 of the family's 1533-position model. The record is from RNAcentral.